GGGGAUGUACUGGUUUCGACAGGGAUGAUGAUCUAUCAUAAGCGAGCCGAGUUUCCUGACCUGGGGUACUCGUAAAAGAACUGGGUCACUUAAACACAAACGCAAACAAUAAAUUUGCAUUAGCUGCUUAAUUGCAGCGUCACCUCUGGGCCUUAUCUCAGCCGCCUAGAGCUUGACCAACCCCUGCUGAGGUCCCUUUGAAAGAUGCUUUUCUAAUCUGAUAGUGCGGUAAAAUAGAAAUAGCCAUAACGCUUGGAUGUCGCCAUCCGUGAGUUAUGGCGAAACCCCAAUUGGCGACUGCGCUCGGAGAAAGUGUUAGUGAUUUGUUUUUGGACGAGGGUUCGACUCCCUCCAUCUCCACCA
RNAcentral lists this transfer-messenger RNA (363 nucleotides) under Bacillota bacterium. It matches the Rfam family "transfer-messenger RNA". From Rfam's summary of the family: Bacterial tmRNA, also known as 10Sa RNA or SsrA, is named for its dual tRNA and mRNA-like properties. Its role is to liberate the mRNA from a stalled ribosome. To accomplish this part of the tmRNA is used as a reading frame that ends in a translation stop signal. RNAcentral also lists the same sequence under 1 other name. The record is from RNAcentral. Lineage: Bacteria; Bacillati; Bacillota.